AUCGUUUCCUGGCUUUUCAGCGGAGAUCAAGCGUGUAUCUGUUCUUAACAGUUCAACAUCUGGUGCGUCCUCUAUCUGAGGACAAUAUGUUAAAUAGAUUUGGGAGCUGGAAAAUGGGAUUGGAGCUUGCUCCAUAUAUUCCAUGUGUGGACCUCGUGUCACAGCAUCUCCGUGGAUGGUUCAGCCCUU
Small nuclear RNA from Meriones unguiculatus (Mongolian gerbil), 189 nucleotides. Its record names the gene U2. It matches the Rfam family "U2 spliceosomal RNA". Rfam says of the family: U2 is a small nuclear RNA (snRNA) component of the spliceosome (involved in pre-mRNA splicing). Complementary binding between U2 snRNA (in an area lying towards the 5' end but 3' to hairpin I) and the branchpoint sequence (BPS) of the intron results the bulging out of an unpaired adenosine, on the BPS, which initiates a nucleophilic attack at the intronic 5' splice site, thus starting the first of two transesterification reactions that mediate splicing. NCBI's taxonomy places the organism in Eukaryota, Metazoa, Chordata, Mammalia, Rodentia, Muridae. The record is from Ensembl.